This 707-nucleotide long non-coding RNA is filed under the name Nilaparvata lugens (brown planthopper). RNAcentral's name for it is "uncharacterized LOC120353145". The record is from RNAcentral. Lineage: Eukaryota; Metazoa; Arthropoda; Insecta; Hemiptera; Delphacidae.
CGUUUCUGUUGAAAAAUAUUUCAUUAGACUCUUAUUUGUUUCAGGUUAUAAAAUCAUACAAGAGAGAGAUCUUGCGCUCAACAGAUUCACUACUCAAAACUGUGACUAAUAACUCGCAAAUUCUCUGACAUGAGAGAGUGAUCUUGCGCUCAACAGAUUCACUACUCAAAAAAUCAUUUUCUCACCUCACUACUCAUAAGCAAUUGUGCUCUCGUGAAGGAACCUUACCUGCAUCUAGAAAAUCAUAGCCGAGGACCUACCUGAACCGAGUCGAGGAGCAUAUCCGAUUAUUUCAUUUCGUCAAAUCAACACAUAAAAAAUGGCGAGAAUACAAAGUUAUCGUUGUGAACUAACUGAACUAUUGGAGACGCAUCACCAAUUAUUGGACCAGUUAGCAGAAAAAGGAUGGACAAAUCUACAAUAUUUAACAUUUGUGAGAGAUUAUGAAAAAUUAGGAGUUUGGCAUAGUGAUAACUAUAAUCAUAUUUCAGUUUGUGAAUUAUACGGUACAUCAUAUGAUAAAUUCUGGGAGAAUGGCAAUAUCCCAGGCUCAUACAGAUGUGAUUGUGGUCAUCUUAAAGAGUCUAUCGAUAAAAUUAAGAAGGUUAUAACAGAAAAAAAUAAACAUUUAACAAAAGAACAAUUAAAUAAACUUAUCUGGAAUUUUUUACGAGAUUCUUCAGAUGAGACAGGCUUAGAACAAGAUU